UCUAUUAUGCUAGCAACAUAUAAAGAAACAAGUAGAAAAGUUCAACAAAAAGAGAAAAAAACGGGAACAGUAACCCUUCGUUGCCUUUGAGUUCUCUCCAUCUCAAUCCAAAGCUCUCACUCAAUCGCUCUCUCAUGUAUCCAAAACCUCUCUCUCUCUCAAAAUUGCUCACCAGCGAACCCUCUCUCACUCGAACUCAAAGAAAACUCCCUCUGCUCUCGCGUCCCCAACCUUCGCUCAUCUUUCACAAUCCCUCACACAAUCGCCCAAAACCCUCUCACUCGCGCUCUCUCUAUCUCGACUCAACGUAUCUCUCUCGCCCUCAACCCCAUUCCCAAAUGCAUAAAACCCACAGCUUAAAGGAACCUGAAGUUUACCUCCGAUAGCGAUUUGGUAGUGACGAUGAACGAUGAAGCCAAAACUUCACUCUUUCGCCUCUCCGAUCCGGGGUUUAGGGUUGUUGUAUGGAAUUCCCAAAGAAUAUCUUCUGCAAACUGCCUUUGAUACGCUCAGUUGGGAUUGGCCUUUUUGAUGCUUGAUUCGGAACCGUGAAAAAUUAGAAGGAAAUUACAACUUCAGUUAUCACAAGGAUUCUUCAUCGUGAUUUUGGGUUGAGUGAACUAAAACAAAGUCUUUGAUCUCCCUGACCGGGUAACUUUGGGCUGUGCAAAUCAUUUCCACCAAGAAUGGAAUUUUCUCUCACGAUUUGAUUGUUGUUUUGCUGCAGGAUUUGUGUGAAGGUAAUCUGAGAUAUCGGAUAGGUAAGGCUGGAUAAUCCGCUGAGUGUCACGUUUUGCAUUGCUUUUGUUACAAACAGACUUAUCCGAAUUGGGAUUAGGAAGUAAAGGAAUUGUUGAAGUUAAUGCUGAUUUGCUGAGGUUCUUGAAUUGGCUGGAAAUGCUGCAAGGGACAACAGGAAGACUGAAAGACUUCCACGCAUUCUUGAAGUAGGACGCCGAUUCUGAUCUGGUUGUGAAUUGAAUAAUUCGUCAGUCCUAGAAACUGCCUGUACCGGUGGUCCUCUUUGCUCUCCUUGUCUGGCAACGUGUGAUGAAGCCAUAACCUUUGCUUGUUGGCUAUUUGCUGUUUAAUGCAGAUGCGAUUUUUUGCACCAGCUGGAUGAAUCAAAAUCAAGGGCCAUCAGUUCAUGCUUUUGGGUGAUGAGGUUGCAUUGGCCUUCUUCUAUUUAAUGUUGAGUUUUCUCCUGUGUAAGGACUGAUGCACCUUUGGAUAACAUGUACUAAAAACUCUUAGUCGCAUGAAUUGGUUUCCGUUUGUUAUGCAAGUUGCAUCUGAUCUCGCUUAAGAGCUUGUUGGAGUUGGACGACCUGUUGUUGAGAUUGCAUCUGAAGCUUAUGUCUCAAAAGCUGUUGGUUGUACAGAUACUGUCUUUUUGGAUUUCAACGAGUUUUGGCAAAUACCGGUUCUUGGAGCAGGCCCUUCCAAUCUGGUCAUGAACUGACUGAUGUUGUAUGGGCUGCAGAAUGUUGUGAUUUUGCACAUCUAAGCAUUGGUUUCCAGCAGGUACAAUUUGCAACAUGGUUGAGGUUUGCCUUCUGACUUGAUGUGGUGCAGCAGGGUUCCUGGCAUGGUUCAAUGGAGUGUUUUGCGCUAGUAUUGGCAUCUGGGGCGCAGAUACUGAGGGAUCUAGGUGUUCAAUCUAUGAAGUUGAUGACUAACAAUCCUUCCAAAUAUAUUGGUCUCAUAGAUUAUGGUUUAACUGUUUCUGGUAGGAUCCCAUGCUAUGAUUCAUCGCAGCAGCAGCGAGAGCAGAAACUUCCUCUGCAUUUAUCCUUGCCUCCUCAGUUUUUUUUUGUAAGAGACUCGUCUGACAUAAUCCUCUUUUCAACAUUCCAGCCACUUUUGAGGCGAUCAAGAAGAGAUAGAGGAGAUACAGACUCAACUGAUUUCAACAGUAGUUACUGGCACAUUCACAACAGGGGUUGCAGCGGCGUUAGCAGGAGAUAUAUGGUUGCUGACAACAGGAGUUGAUACCAGAUGGGACUGCAUACCAGGUCCUGGAUCGGGAGGUUUAUUGCUUUACGGAACUGAACCAUGUUUGAUGGCUGGCUGCAUCUGAGAGGCUUUGGCUAGGUUGGUAAUGCUGCAGUUAUGUAUUACUGGAAAUGUAUGGUUAGUGAAAUUGGUGUAUGUUGGCAUUGUAUUGGGAUAAUGUUUGUAAUGUUGCAGGGUUGUUUUGAGAUGCAUGCCAGGCUGUUAUGGUUUUUGUCAUCAAGAGGAAUGGACUUGAGCCAAACAGGGAAACCUCCAAAGUUCCAUUCAGCACAAGCAUAAGGACCAAUUCUGAGGUGAACAUAAAGACCUGCUUGCUGCACCAGCUUUAUGAACUUUACCAAAUCAUGGUUCCCCUCAAAAUAAUAUUUGCCAGGUGAAGGUUCAUGCCCAUUCCAAAAAACAUAAGUUUGAAUCACAUCCAAUCCUCCUUCUUUAGCCUUUUGGAUAAGAUCUGUGUCGCAUCUCAGGAGUACUUCUGGGGUAAUGAAUGGAGCCAGAAAGUAGUAUCCUUCUUUGUCCAUUAAUGGUGAUAGCUUUAUAAUCAUAUGAAACAGAAACUUCAUGUUGAGCAAUAAGUGAAGUAGCAAGUAUCACAAACAGCAACACAUUGAGCUUGAAGCCCAUAAUGAAUAACGAACCUUGAAUAUGUUAUGUUUUAUUUUCCAACACUUUAUUCUAAGCUUCAAUGUAGAGAGAGAGAGAAAGAGAGAGAAAGUGGUUAUUUUUGUGUUUUUUUUUUUACCACAUGUAACAAUACCUUUGGUGUAAUUUGGAUAUGGACAUGGGUUUAUUUUAGGGUUCUCGGAUUUAGGUUGACUUUGGUCAAAGUUGACCAAAAAGUCAAUUGUUGACCAAAGUCAACAAUUGGCCAAAAGUGUCAAUUUUUUUUGUAUUUUUCUUGUAUGAAAUCAUAUGUACUGGUUUAAACAUGGAUGAAAUCGAUUGAAAUGGAUUAACAAAUGGUUUGAAGUUGGUUUCCAACUUGUUUUGCCUUAUGACUUGAAUAUUUGACUUUGAAAAGAACAUGACUGAUAAUGCACAUGACCAAGGCCACGAACUGA
This is a long non-coding RNA of Lathyrus oleraceus (garden pea), 3077 nucleotides long. RefSeq lists it as uncharacterized. Lineage: Eukaryota; Viridiplantae; Streptophyta; Magnoliopsida; Fabales; Fabaceae. The record is from RefSeq and is a predicted model, not a curated record. The transcript has 6 exons.